AUUGAACGCUGGCGGCAGGCCUAACACAUGCAAGUCGAGCGAGCGGCGGACGGGUGAGUAAUGUCUGGGAAACUGCCUGUUGGGGGGGGAUAACUCCUGGAAACGGUAGCUAAUACCGCAUACGCUCAGAUGUGCCCACAUGGGGUUAGCGCGAGGGGGGGGUAAUGGCUCACCUAGGCGACGAUCCCUAGCUGGUCUGAGAGGAUGACCAGCCACACUGGAACUGAGACACGGGCCAGACUCCUACGGGAGGCAGCAGUGGGGAAUAGUGCACAAUGGGCGCAAGCCUGAUGCAGCCAUGCCGCGUGUAGGAAGAAGGCCUUCGGGUUGUAAAGUACUUUCAGCGGGGAGGCGUUACCCGCAGAAGAAGCACCGGCUAACUCCGUGCCAGCAGCCGCGGUAAUAC
Molecule: ribosomal RNA, 406 nt
Filed under: uncultured bacterium
Lineage: Bacteria
Description: partial 16S ribosomal RNA
Rfam family: Bacterial small subunit ribosomal RNA
Source: RNAcentral